RNAcentral lists this ribosomal RNA (469 nucleotides) under uncultured bacterium. RNAcentral's name for it is "partial 16S ribosomal RNA". It matches the Rfam family "Bacterial small subunit ribosomal RNA", at positions 27 to 507 of the family's 1533-position model. The record is from RNAcentral.
GGACGAACGCUGGCGGCGUGCUUACCACCCGCAAGUCGAACGGAAAGGCCCUGCUUUUGUGGGGUGCUCGAGUGGCGAACGGGUGAGUAACACGUGAGUAACCUGCCCUUGACUUUGGGAUAACUUCAGGAAACUGGGGCUAAUACCGGAUAGGAGCUCCUGCUGCAUGGUGGGGGUUGGAAAGUUUCGGCGGUUGGGGAUGGACUCGCGGCUUAUCAGCUUGUUGGUGGGGUAGUGGCUUACCAAGGCUUUGACGGGUAGCCGGCCUGAGAGGGUGACCGGCCACAUUGGGACUGAGAUACGGCCCAGACUCCUACGGGAGGCAGCAGUGGGGAAUAUUGCACAAUGGGCGGAAGCCUGAUGCAGCAACGCCGCGUGCGGGAUGACGGCCUUCGGGUUGUAAACCGCUUUCGCCUGUGACGAAGCGUGAGUGACGGUAAUGGGUAAAGAAGCACCGGCUAACUACGUG